Molecule: transfer RNA, 83 nt
Filed under: Gracilaria gracilis
Lineage: Eukaryota; Rhodophyta; Florideophyceae; Gracilariales; Gracilariaceae
Also listed under: 1 other name
Description: tRNA-Leu
Rfam family: tRNA
About the family: Transfer RNA (tRNA) molecules are approximately 80 nucleotides in length.
Source: RNAcentral
GCGGACAUGGUGGAAUUGGUAGACACGCUAGAUUUAGGAUCUAGUGAGCUGGUCUCGUGAGAGUUCAAGUCUCUCUGUCCGCA